This 459-nucleotide ribosomal RNA is filed under the name uncultured bacterium. RNAcentral describes it as "partial 16S ribosomal RNA". It matches the Rfam family "Bacterial small subunit ribosomal RNA", at positions 338 to 795 of the family's 1533-position model. The record is from RNAcentral.
CCUACGGGGGGCAGCAGUGAGGAAUAUUGGUCACUGGUCGGGAGACUGAACCAGCCAAGCCGCGUGAGGGAGGAAGGUACAGAGUAUCGUAAACCUCUUUUGUCAGGGAACAAAGACUGGGACGCGUCCCCGGAUGAGGGUACCUGAAGAAAAAGCAUCGGCUAACUCAGUGCCAGCAGCCGCGGUAAUACGGAGGAUGCGAGCGUUAUCCGGCUUUAUUGGGUUUAAAGGGUGCGCAGGCGGUUGGUUAAGUUCACGGUCAAAGCCCGGGGCUCAACCCCGUCCCGCCGUUGAAACUGGCAGUCUCGAGUUGGAGAGAAGUAUGCGGAAUGCGCGGUGUAGCGGUGCAAUGCAUAGAUAUCGCGCAGAACUCCGAUUGCGAAGGCAGCAUGCCGGCUCCACACUGACGCUGAGGCACGAAAGCGUGGGUAUCGAACAGGAUUAGAUACCCCAGUAGUC